RNAcentral lists this ribosomal RNA (486 nucleotides) under uncultured bacterium. Its description in RNAcentral is "partial 16S ribosomal RNA". It matches the Rfam family "Bacterial small subunit ribosomal RNA", at positions 30 to 507 of the family's 1533-position model. The record is from RNAcentral.
AUUGAACGCUGGCGGCAUGCCUUACACAUGCAAGUCGAACGGCAGCACGGGUGCUUGCACCUGGUGGCGAGUGGCGAACGGGUGAGUAAUACAUCGGAACAUGUCCUGUAGUGGGGGAUAGCCCGGCGAAAGCCGGAUUAAUACCGCAUACGAUCUACGGAUGAAAGCGGGGGACCUUCGGGCCUCGCGCUAUCGGGUUGGCCGAUGGCUGAUUAGCUAGUUGGUGGGGUAAAGGCCUACCAAGGCGACGAUCAGUAGCUGGUCUGAGAGGACGACCAGCCACACUGGGACUGAGACACGGCCCAGACUCCUACGGGAGGCAGCAGUGGGGAAUUUUGGACAAUGGGCGAAAGCCUGAUCCAGCAAUGCCGCGUGUGUGAAGAAGGCCUUCGGGUUGUAAAGCACUUUUGUCCGGAAAGAAAUCCUUGGCCCUAAUACGGUCGGGGGAUGACGGUACCGGAAGAAUAAGCACCAGCUAACUACGUG